This 453-nucleotide unclassified non-coding RNA is filed under the name Hevea brasiliensis (rubber tree). The record is from RNAcentral. Lineage: Eukaryota; Viridiplantae; Streptophyta; Magnoliopsida; Malpighiales; Euphorbiaceae.
GCUUACGGCCUCGCAUGCGUCGACAAGUGGGCUGCCUGCAGCUUUCAAAGAGCUCCUAAACAAAGAAACAAACAAGAAAAGCAAGUGUCUUAGUCGUCUUUCNNNNNNNNUAUUUCUGUUGUAGUUGCAGGAGCUUCUGUAUGUGGUCCAUUGGCAUUUUCGCCUGCCUACUUACUUUAAUUCUCUUGCUUUCUUUAAAUUCUCUACCCAUUUCAAAAUAGCAUAUUUUCAUUUCUCAAAAACACAAGAAUAUAUUCUUUGGCAUUUUUCAAAUUCAACAACCAGCGCACACCAUUCAUUCUUUGCUCCACUACAAAGAAAUCAGUUUCCUAUUCCCUUUAAUCUUCUCCUUGUUUUUCGAAAAGCAUGCUGGUAUUUAUAACAACUCUAUUAAGGACUUGUAGUGCUGCUGGAGGCUGUUUGCUUGUUUAAUUCUGAAGGUUGAGAAAAAAA